Molecule: ribosomal RNA, 254 nt
Filed under: uncultured bacterium
Lineage: Bacteria
Description: partial 16S ribosomal RNA
Rfam family: Bacterial small subunit ribosomal RNA
Source: RNAcentral
UACGGAAGGUGCAAGCGUUGUCCGGAUUGACUGGGUGUAAAGGGCGUGUAGGCGGAGGAGUAUGUCGGGAGUGAAAUCGUACGGCUUAACCGUAUCAAUUGCUUCCGAAACUAUUCCCCUUGAGUGCAAGAGAGGCAGAUAGAAUUCCUGGUGUAGCGGUGGAAUGCGUAGAUAUCAGGAAGAAUACCGGAGGCGAAGGCGGUCUGCUGGCUUGUAACUGACGCUGAGGCGCGAAAGUGUGGGGAGCAAACAGG